RNAcentral lists this ribosomal RNA (497 nucleotides) under uncultured bacterium. Its description in RNAcentral is "partial 16S ribosomal RNA". It matches the Rfam family "Bacterial small subunit ribosomal RNA", at positions 28 to 507 of the family's 1533-position model. The record is from RNAcentral.
GACGAACGCUGGCGGCGUGCCUAAUACAUGCAAGUUGAGCGCUGAAGGUUGGUACUUGUACCGACUGGAUGAGCAGCGAACGGGUGAGUAACGCGUGGGGAAUCUGCCUUUGAGCGGGGGACAACAUUUGGAAACGAAUGCUAAUACCGCAUAAAAACUUUAAACACAAGUUUUAAGUUUGAAAGAUGCAAUUGCAUCACUCAAAGAUGAUCCCGCGUUGUAUUAGCUAGUUGGUGAGGUAAAGGCUCACCAAGGCGAUGAUACAUAGCCGACCUGAGAGGGUGAUCGGCCACAUUGGGACUGAGACACGGCCCAAACUCCUACGGGAGGCAGCAGUAGGGAAUCUUCGGCAAUGGACGAAAGUCUGACCGAGCAACGCCGCGUGAGUGAAGAAGGUUUUCGGAUCGUAAAACUCUGUUGGUAAAGAAGAACGUUGGUGAGAGUGGAAAGCUCAUCAAGUGACGGUAACUACCCAGAAAGGGACGGCUAACUACGUG